Molecule: ribosomal RNA, 368 nt
Filed under: uncultured organism
Description: bacterial SSU rRNA
Rfam family: Bacterial small subunit ribosomal RNA
Source: RNAcentral
CGGAGGAUCCAAGCGUUAUCCGGAUUCAUUGGGUUUAAAGGGUGCGUAGGCGGAACGAUAAGUCAGUGGUGAAAGCCUGCAGCUUAACUGCAGAACUGCCAUUGAUACUGUCGAUCUUGAGUACAUUUGAUGAGGGCGGAAUGUGUCAUGUAGCGGUGAAAUGCUUAGAUAUGACACAGAACACCGAUUGCGAAGGCAGCUCUCAAAACUGUAACUGACGCUGAGGCACGAAAGCGUGGGUAUCAAACAGGAUUAGAUACCCUGGUAGUCCACGCUGUAAACUAUGAUCACUCGAUGUUUGCGAUAUACUGUAAGCGUCCAAGCGAAAGCGAUAAGUGAUCCACCUGGGGAGUACGCUCGCAAGAGUG